GAGUUUGAUCCUGGCUCAGGAUGAACGCUAGCGACAGGCCUAACACAUGCAAGUCGAGGGGCAGCAUUUCCAGCUUGCUGGAAGAUGGCGACCGGCGCACGGGUGAGUAACGCGUAUGCAACCUACCUUACAUUGGGGGAUAGCCCAGAGAAGUCUGGAUUAAUACCGCAUAAUAUAUUUGAAUCGCAUGGUUUAAAUAUUAAAACUCCGGUGAUGUAAGAUGGGCAUGCGUAGCAUUAGUUAGUUGGUAAGGUAACGGCUUACCAAGACGAUGAUGCUUAGGGGGUCUGAGAGGAUAGUCCCCCACACUGGUACUGAGACACGGACCAGACUCCUACGGGAGGCAGCAGUGAGGAAUAUUGGUCAAUGGACGCAAGUCUGAACCAGCCAUGUCGCGUGCAGGAUGACGGCCCUAUGGGUUGUAAACUGCUUUUUUACAGGAAUAAACGUUGCUACGUGUAGUGAUUUGAAUGUACUGUAUGAAUAAGGAUCGGCUAACUCCGUGCCAGCAGCCGCGGUAAUACGGAGGAUUCGAGCGUUAUCCGGAUUUAUUGGGUUUAAAGGGUCCGUAGGCGGUCUUUUAAGUCAGUGGUGAAAUCCCAGAGCUCAACUCUGGAACUGCCAUUGAAACUGAGAGACUUGAAUAUGGUUGAGGUAGGCGGAAUACGUUAUGUAGCGGUGAAAUGCAUAGAUAUAACGUAGAACACCAAUUGCGAAGGCAGCUUACUAAACCAUUAUUGACGCUGAUGGACGAAAGCGUGGGGAGCGAACAGGAUUAGAUACCCUGGUAGUCCACGCCGUAAACGAUGAUUACUCGUUGUGCACAAUACAUCGUGCGUGACUGAGCGAAAGCAUUAAGUAAUCCACCUGGGGAGUACGUUCGCAAGAAUGAAACUCAAAGGAAUGACGG
This 910-nucleotide ribosomal RNA is filed under the name uncultured bacterium. Its description in RNAcentral is "bacterial SSU rRNA". It matches the Rfam family "Bacterial small subunit ribosomal RNA", at positions 9 to 916 of the family's 1533-position model. The record is from RNAcentral.